GUGGAGGGCUCUGGGUCAACGCCUCAGUAAGGCUUGGGAACAGGCCUUGUCAUGUCUGAAGGCCUGGCAGCCCUCAAAUGCCAAAUAGUAGGUCACAGAAUGGUUUCUCUGUGACCCCUGACCCCGUAUUUGGAUUAAAGGGUAGCCAAAGUAGGCCUGGCUUAGGCCCAUCUGGGGAUUGGGCUGAGAAUCCAGAGGAAGGAAGGCCUGAGGCUCUGGUCCCCAGGUAGAUUCCGGGCUCCUCCAGGUCGCAGCUGGACAGCGCUCUGAGGCCUGGCCCACGGGGGGAGUCUGUCCAGCUCCUCGGCAGGCAAGGUGGCAGGAGCAUUUCUCCUAGCCCCUGUGCGGUGCCUGUGGUAAUGGGGCUGUUGGCGUUUUGCAAUGGGCCGGGGGUGGGGAGGCAGUGCACACAUGCUUCCUGUGGUGACUGAGCGCUUCCUGUUUUCUCAGGCGCCGGCCUUGCUGCUGCCGAUGUGGAAAGAGGGGCAGCUGCAGCCAGGGCGGCUCCAGGCUGGGCACCCUGACCCUGCCCAGAGGAGCCUAAGUGGGCCCACAACCCCCCAGGCCCCAGACCUGGGCAGUAGAUGGCCUGAGUUCGCCCCACAUGAAGCCCCUACCCCUCCCUUCCCCAACAGCUUCCACCAAGGGGAAGGGGCCAGGCAGGGCAGAGCAGUGGUCCAGGAGGCCAAAGGUCCAGGGGUGAGAGCUCCAGGCUGGGAGUCAGGGCACGUGGCUCUGGGCUCGGCUUUGUCUGGAGCUGAGCGCCGCUGGCCACCUCUCACCCACUCAGGCCUCUUUUUCUUUUUCUGGCACCAGGAGGUGGAAUCCUA
RNAcentral lists this long non-coding RNA (830 nucleotides) under Marmota monax (woodchuck). The record is from RNAcentral. Lineage: Eukaryota; Metazoa; Chordata; Mammalia; Rodentia; Sciuridae.